CCUACGGGAGGCAGCAGUGAGGAAUAUUGGUCAAUGGACGAGAGUCUGAACCAGCCAAGUAGCGUGAAGGAUGACUGCCCUAUGGGUUGUAAACUUCUUUUAUAUGGGAAUAAAACGUUCCACGUGUGGGAUUUUGUAUGUACCAUAUUAAUAAGGAUCGGCUAACUCCGUGCCAGCAUCCGCGGUAAUACGGAGGUUCCGAGCGUUAUCCGGAUUUAUUGGGUUUAAAGGGAGCGUAGGUGGAUUGUUAAGUCAGUUGUGAAAGUUUGCGGCUCAACCGUAAAACUGCAGUUGAAACUGGCAGUCUUGAGUACAGUAGAGGUGGGCGGAAUUCGUGGUGUAGCGGUGAAAUGCUUAGAUAUCACGAAGAACUCCGAUUGCGAAGGCAGUUCACUGGACUGCAACUGACACUGAGGCGCGAAAGUGUGGGUAGCAAACAGGAUUAGAUACCCUAGUAGUC
RNAcentral lists this ribosomal RNA (460 nucleotides) under uncultured bacterium. Its description in RNAcentral is "partial 16S ribosomal RNA". It matches the Rfam family "Bacterial small subunit ribosomal RNA", at positions 338 to 795 of the family's 1533-position model. The record is from RNAcentral.